This 499-nucleotide ribosomal RNA is filed under the name uncultured soil bacterium. RNAcentral's name for it is "bacterial SSU rRNA". It matches the Rfam family "Bacterial small subunit ribosomal RNA", at positions 26 to 517 of the family's 1533-position model. The record is from RNAcentral.
AGGACGAACGCUGGCGGCGUGCCUAACACAUGCAAGUGGAGCGACGAACCGGGGCUUGCCCCGGGGCAGAGCCGCGAACGGGUGAGUAACACGUGGGUUACCUGCCCCGAUGACUGGGACAACCCGUCGAAAGACGGGCUAAUACCGGAUGUGCCCCUUGGGGGAAAGAAGCUUCGGCCUCCGCAUCGGGAUGGGCCCGCGGCGCAUUAGCUUGUUGGUGGGGUAAUGGCUUACCAAGGCGACGAUGCGUAGCUGGUCUGAGAGGACGAUCAGCCACACUGGGACUGAGACACGGCCCAGACUCCUACGGGAGGCAGCAGGUGGGAAUCUUGCACAAUGCGCGAAAGCGUGAUGCAGCAACGCCGCGUGCGGGAAGAAGGCCUUAGGGUUCGUAAACCGCGUUUCAGGUUGGAACGUAAGUCUUUAAGUCGUUAAGUAGCGGUUUAGGAGUGACGGUACCUUCGAGUAAGAGCGACCGCUAACGUCGUGCCAGCAGCCG